AUGUCACUCAAUACGGAUUUGAAGUUCUUCCUCGGAUUUCAAAUUCAACAAUUUCAAGAAGGGAUUUUCUUGUCUCAAGCAAAAUACCUCAAGGAUAUCCUAGCGAAAUUUGGCAUGACUAAUGCUAGCCCAUGUAAGACACCCAUGCCAACCAAAAUUGUACUCACUGAAGACUCAAACGGUACCCCCUUCGACCCAUCUAGAUACCGCUCUAUGAUUGGUUCGUUGCUUUAUCUUUGUGCAUCUAGACCAGACAUCAUGUUUAGUGUAUGCAUGUGUGCUAGAUUUCAAGCUUUCCCUAUGGAAAGCCAUCAUAAGGCGGUUAAGCAUAUUCUUAGAUACCUUGUUCACACCCCAAAGUUAGGACUAUGGUACCCCAAGGAUGUUAAGUUUGAUCUCAUUGGAUACACGGAUGCGGAUUGGGCUGGUGACAAGGUGGAUCGUAAGUCCACCUCCGGUGCAUGCCAAUUUCUUGGAUGCUCCUUGGUAAGUUGGUCCUCGAAGAAACAAAAUUGUGUUGCCCUCUCCACCGCAGAAGCUGAAUACAUUGCGACCGCCAGUUGUGCAACUCAAUUACUAUGGAUGAGGCAAACUUUGAAGGAUUACGGUAUCACCUAUAGACAUGUGCCUCUUCUAUGUGAUAAUGAAAGUGCCAUCAAUAUUGCUGAGAACCCCAAAGAUCAUUCCCGCACCAAGCAUAUUGAUAUCAGGUAUCACUUCUUGAGAGAUCAUGUGGAGAAGGGUGAUAUUGACAUUGCUCAUGUUGGCACAGAUAAGCAACCUGCAGAUAUUUUCACCAAGCCAUUGGAUGAAGCAAGGUUUUGUCAACUUAGGCGUGAACUUGGUAUCUUGGAGCUUGACAAUAUUAUGUGA
RNAcentral lists this ribosomal RNA (873 nucleotides) under Triticum aestivum (bread wheat). Its description in RNAcentral is "partial small subunit ribosomal RNA". Lineage: Eukaryota; Viridiplantae; Streptophyta; Magnoliopsida; Poales; Poaceae. The record is from RNAcentral.